Molecule: ribosomal RNA, 421 nt
Filed under: uncultured beta proteobacterium
Lineage: Bacteria; Pseudomonadati; Pseudomonadota; Betaproteobacteria
Description: bacterial SSU rRNA
Rfam family: Bacterial small subunit ribosomal RNA
Source: RNAcentral
CGAUAUCAGAUUAGCUAGUUGGUGGGGUAAAGGCCUACCAAGGCUACGAUCUGUAGUUGGUCUGAGAGGACGACCAGCCACACUGGGACUGAGACACGGCCCAGACUCCUACGGGAGGCAGCAGUGGGGAAUUUUGGACAAUGGGGGCAACCCUGAUCCAGCCAUGCCGCGUGAGUGAAGAAGGCCUUCGGGUUGUAAAGCUCUUUCAGCCGGGAAGAAAGCGCACUCUCUAACAUAGGGUGUGGAUGACGGUACCGGAAGAAGAAGCACCGGCUAACUACGUGCCAGCAGCCGCGGUAAUACGUAGGGUGCGAGCGUUAAUCGGAAUUACUAGGCGUAAAGGGUGCGCAGGCGGUUUUGUAAGACAGAUGUGAAAUCCCCGGGCUUAACCUGGGAACUGCGUUUGAAACUACAAGGCUAG